Eubacterium plexicaudatum ASF492 is the source of this 115-nucleotide non-coding RNA. The record is from Rfam. NCBI's taxonomy places the organism in Bacteria, Bacillati, Bacillota, Clostridia, Eubacteriales, Eubacteriaceae.
UAAAAUCUUCAGGGCAGGGUGCAAUUCCCUACCGGUGGUAAAGCCCACGAGCCGCAAGGCAUGAUUCGGUGCAAUUCCGAAGCCGACAGUAUAGUCUGGAUGAAAGAAGAUUGGA